This 8101-nucleotide long non-coding RNA is filed under the name Lactuca sativa (garden lettuce). RNAcentral describes it as "long non-coding RNA (LSAT_LNC005443)". The record is from RNAcentral. Lineage: Eukaryota; Viridiplantae; Streptophyta; Magnoliopsida; Asterales; Asteraceae.
AUCAUAACUUCCUCAUACGAAGUCAGAUUUGGGCGUUCUAUAUAUAUUCGGAAACCUCGUUUCAACUACUACAACAUUAACCAAAGAUAUUAAGUUUAUUUUACACUUAAAUUUUGACGCUUAUUUUUAUUCUUAAUUAAUCAAACCACAUAAUUAAGCAAUUAAGCACAAAACACAUAAUACUCAAAUAAUACAAUCUUAUUAUUUCAAAACGGGUUACAAAGGUUAACCUAGACUAUUACAUUGCUAAAAAUGGCAAGCCCGGAAACACAGGCGUUACAAUUCUCUCCACCUUAGAAUGAUUCCGUCCCCGGAAUCACACAUCAACAAACAAAUGCGGAUAGCGACUCAACAUGUCACUCUCCGUCUCCCAGGUGAGAUUCGGCCCAUUCGUGUGUUUCCAUCGGACAAGCACUAACCCAACCAUUUUGCGUCGCAACUUCUUAGUCUUUCGGUCAACAAUUGCCUCUGGUUCUUCAAUCAACCUUUUGUUCUCAUCAAUUCUCAAUUCAGAAAUUGGAAUUAUAUCGGGAACUUCUCCCGUGAACUUCCUCAAAUAACACACAUGAAAAGUGUUGUGAAUUCCAUUCAGUUCUUCGGGUAAUUCGAGCUUGUAAGCUUGGUUCCCAAUCCUCUGAAGAACUUUAAACGGUCCAAUAAACCUUGGACUCAACUUUCCCCUUUUACCAAAUCUUAUAAGUCCCUUCCACGGCGAGACUUUAAGCAAAACCGAAUCCCCAACCUCAAAAGUUAUCGGUCUCCGCUUCUUGUCAGCAUAGCUCUUUUGACGAUCCUGAGCUGCUAACAUUCUUUCCCUAAUUAUUUUCAACUUUUCAGCAGUUUGAUGAACCAACUCCGGUCCCAUAAACUGCUUUUCCCCAGCCUCAAGCCAACAAGACGGCGUACGACACUUCUGUCCAUACAAAGCUUGGUAAGGUGCCAUCUUAAUGCUCGAGUGGAAACUAUUAUUAUAGGAAAAUUCUACCAACGGUAAAUGUUCAUCCCAAUUACCUAGGAAUUCCAGAGUACAUGCUCUCAGCAUAUCUUCAAGUGUUUGUAUCGUUCGUUCGCUCUGACCAUCAGUCUGCGGAUGGUAAGCUGUACUUAAACACAACUUGGUACCCAAUUCCUCUUGUAGACUUUUCCAAAACCUCGAUGUGAAACGGCUAUCACGAUCCGACACAAUCGUUAACGGAACACCGUGAAGCCUCACAAUUUCCUUCACGUAAGAAUUCGCAAGCUUCUCCAUAGACCAUUUCUCCCUGGCCGCUAUGAAAUGCGCACUCUUAGUGAAUCGAUCAACGACCACCCAAAUCAUGUCGUGACCAUUCUUUGUUCUGGGCAGUUUAGUGACAAAAUCCAUAGCAAUGUCUUCCCACUUACCCAUAGGCACAGGCAAAGGUUCUAAACUCCCGUACGGUUUCUGAUGUUGUGUCUUGACUCUCGCACAAGUCACACACUCGGCCACAUACUUUGCAACAUCAAGCUUCAUCGUCGGCCACCAGUAGUAGGGUUUCAGGUCCCUAUACAUUUUAGUGCUACCCGGAUGAAUCGAGUACAUGGUCUUGUGAGCUUCUUCCAUCAGAAGAUCUCUGACUCCUCCUGUCUUAGGUAUCCAAAUCCGAUCUUGGAACACCUUCAGUCCAUGACUGUUUACACCGAACACCAACGUUUUGCCCAAACGUUCCUCCUUUCUGUCAUUCUUCUCAGAAGCUUCGCUCUGAGCUUUCUUUAUACUUUCCAAAAUAGUUGAGACAACUUCAAUUCUCAACGCUCUUGGCCUUUUCCUUUCGGGAUUGACUUUCCGACUGAGAGCAUCAGCAACAACAUUAGCUUUACCGGGGUGGUAAAGUAUCUCGCAGUCAUAGUCUUUAAGUAAUUCUAGCCAGCGUCGUUGCCUCAUAUUCAAUUCUUUCUGAUUAAAGAGGUAUUGGAGACUCUUAUGAUCAGUGAAAAGUUUGCACUUCGUGCCAUAGAGGUAAUGCCUCCAUAUUUUCAGAGCGAAAACUACCGCUGCCAACUCCAAAUCAUGAGUCGGGUAAUUCUUUUCAUGCUCUUUCAGCUGUCGAGACGCAUAUGCUAUCACCUUUUCUCUUUGGGUCAAAACACAACCCAAUCCAACACCAGACGCAUCGCUAUAGACAGCGAAGUCUUCAACUCCAUCGGGUAGAGAAAGUAUCGGUGCCUCGCAUAGCUUCUCCUUUAGCUUCUCAAAUGCUUCCUUAUGCUUCUCACCCCAAGCAUAAGUAGCUCCUUUGUGGGUCAAAGCUGACAAUGGACUAGCGAUCGAAGAAAAGCCUUGGAUAAACCUUCGGUAAUAUCCGGCUAAUCCUAAAAAGCUUCGAAUCUCCGUGGGACUUUUCGGUUGUUCCCACUUCGUCACAGCUUCGAUCUUCGCUGGAUCAACCAUUAUCCCUUCUUGGUUGACCACGUGACCCAAGAAUUGGACUUCACGAAUCCAAAAAUCACAUUUGGAGAACUUAGCAUACAGCUUCUCCUUCUUCAAAACUUCUAACACUUCUCGCAAGUGUCUGCCAUGCUCCUCCUGGCUUUUCGAGUAAAUCAGAAUGUCGUCUAUGAACACUAUCACGGAUUUAUCAAGGAACGGGUUACAAACCCUAUUCAUCAAAUCCAUGAACGCUGCUGGAGCAUUGGUUAGUCCAAACGACAUAACCAAGAACUCGUAGUGUCCAUAUCUAGUUCUGAAUGCAGUCUUCUCGAUAUCUUGCUCUCUUACUUUUAGCUGAUGAUAUCCUGACCUAAGAUCGAUCUUCGAGAAAUAGCUCGAACCUUGCAAUUGAUCAAACAGGUCAUCAAUCCUCGGCAACGGAUAUCUAUUCUUUAUUGUUGCCUUGUUCAGCUCUCUGUAAUCGAUGCACAUUCUCAUACUUCCAUCUUUCUUCUUUACAAAUAACACCGGAGCUCCCCAGGGCGAUGAACUAGGUCUAAUGAAACCGUUGUCCAAUAACUCCUGAAGUUGCAUCAUUAGCUCCUUCAUCUCCGUCGGUGCUAAUCGAUAAGGUGCUUUCGCAAUUGGCGUUGUUCCUGGCAACAAGUCAAUACGGAAUUCCACUUGUCGAUCAGGCGGUAAUCCAGGAAGAUCUUCGGGAAAUACUUCCGGAUAAUCACACACCACUGGAAUAUUCUGCAUCACCUUCUUUUCCUUCUUAGCAUCAAUCACGAAUGCUAAAUACGAUGUACACCCCUUGGUCAAACAUUUUCUGGCUUUCAUCAAUGAAAUGAUUCCAGAAUUCACUCUGCGUUUAUCUCCAUACACCAUAAACGAAUCUUUCCCAGGCGGGUUUACUUUGACUAUUUUCUUCUUGCAUAAAAUUUCGGCGUCGUUGGCGCUAAGCCAAUCCAUUCCCAAUACGAUGUCGAAACCAUUAAGUUCGAUAGGCAAUAAUUCCUCGUGGAACUUAUUCCCAUUCAGAUCAAUUAAGAUGUUUUUCAUGCGAUAGCUAACAGGUACAAACUUGCCACUAGCAACUUCGACUAAUAAGGCAUUAUCUAGUCUAACAACAGGCAAAGCUAGCUUUCUACCAAAUUCAUGCGAUAUAAAGGAGUAGUUGGCUCCAGAAUCAAAUAAAAUUUGGGCAGGCAAUUCGUUAACGAGAAAGGUACCUGAAGCGACAUCAGCUUCAUCUUUAGCAGCUUCCAGUGUCAUCUGGAAUGCUCUCGCCUUUGGCUUUGGCGGAAUGUUGGGUCUAGCUGCCUCCUUCUUCUUCGGGCAGUCCCUCGACAUAUGACCCUCCUCACCACAACCAUAGCAAACUUUCUUUGUGAGGGUACACUCAUUGGCAUAGUGCCCUGGCUUUCCACACUUGUAGCAUGUGUUCGCCACCUCACAUUUUCCAUGAUGCUUCUUCUUACAUUUGUCGCACCAUUUCGCUUCACCUCCACCUCCCCUCGAACCAGACUUCGAGAACUUGUUUUUCUUGUUGGACCCUGAAGUUCCAUCGAACUUCCUCUUUUCACCAACAUCUAUCCUUUCCAGACCCUUUUCCUUCUGCUGGGCCUCCACAUUCUUAGCUGCACGAACAGCCGUUUUCAGAGUAGUUGCCAUCUUGACUGUCGGACCAAAGUCGGCAGGCAGUCCAUUAGCAAACCUCUCAAUCUUGGAGAGUUCCGUUGGCACUAGGUACGGAAACAACUUCAUCUUCUCAGUAAAUGCAGUAGCAUAGUCAUCUAUGCUCAUCUUCCCCUUCUUCAUGUUUUGGAACUCAUUGUUCAGAUCUAUCUCUAAACAAUACUGCACCCUUAGUUGUUCCAAGAACUCCUCCCAUGACAUUUUCAGGGCUUCUCCUCGUGGCAUAGUAUUUGCCAUCAACUUCCACCAACUCAAGACUUUGGUCUUUAGUUAUCUAACCGCAAAGACGGUCUUCUGUUUGUUGCUACAGUCGCAACUUUCAAAUACCAUCUCCAUUUCGGAGAUCCAAUCCAUUAUCUCAACAGGCUUUGGGCUUCCAGAAAGACUUGGCGGCUUGGCGCCCAAGAAGUUCUUGUACAUUCACCCAUCCUUGUUGUUUCUCCUUUCCGGAUCGUUCCUUCGUUCCCCUUGAGUCCCAACUUGACUCAUCAUGCGACUAUUGUUCCCUUCCUCCGAUUGCUCGGGAAUCAAUUCAGGUUCCUCAAUAGGUAUGAUAGGUUCAUCCCUAUUAUUAUGCAACAUUUGUCGCAUCUCCUCCCUUUGUUCGGCUAGCAUAGCCCGAAUCAUGGCUUGCACCCCAGCCAUUGUUAUUGGUUCUGGUGCUGCUGCUACAACAUGUAUUUGCUCAAUCACUGGCAGUUGAUUCCUGUUUUCAUCCGCGUUUCCAACGCCACUCCUUGUUCUCACCAUUUUUGAUCUACACACUGAAUAAGGUGAAAUUAGAUCCUCAUUGACGAUAGAUAUUCAAAUCAUCAUUAUUACUCCGAAACGUUUACAUGCUAGUUCAAAUAUUGUAGACGCACGCUUAGAAUCGUACACACAUAAGGUUUCUAGAUCCGGUCGACAACAGACCGUAGAUCUGAACAAAUAAUAUCAUAUGUGGCAACAUAUAGCAUUUAGCACAUAAAGCAUUUUAGGCAACUUUCCUAAAAUAAACUAGUGCUCGUGUGUAAAAUCCAACAGACACACAUCUCAACAUUCCACUUAGCAUCCUAAGUUUAAGUCUAGAAAUCCUACAAAUUCCUAGUUCGCUUAAACUAACGCUCUGAUACCAACUGUGACAUCCCCAAAAUCUCGGCCAGAUAAGACCGAUUUUCAUUUAUGCUUUUAAAUAAUUUCAGAGUAAAUCCUUUUGAUUUGAAAGAGUUGCGGAAUUUGUUCCCAAAACAAAACAUGAUAAAAUAAUAUUUAUCAAAGCGUUUCAUCAAGAGAUGCAUUUUCAUUAUAUAAUCAAAACUCGGGAUGUCAUGUUCCGAUACAGACCAUAAAGCAUAAACGAUAAACUUAAAAGUCAUUCAACAAAUAUAUACAUAUACAGACUUGUAAACAAAACAACAAGAUGAUCCAUCCAUCUUACGCCCUUGUGCCACUUCCUGUAAUACAAAUAAAACUGAGUGGGUCAGGCUUGGGAGCCUGGUGAGCAUAUAGGGUUUUCAACCCACAAUAAAUAAGUUAUAUUUAAUUUCACCAACCAAUCACUAUCCCGAUUACCCAUUCCCGUUAUCCUCACUUUACGUCCCUAAAACAACUAUCUCAAGGGACCUAAUCUAGGAUUUUCAUCGGGACGGACAUCACUGCGAAGGGGUUUCCUCAACAAUAGAUAUCCUAAAGGCAACCAUGAGGGGGAUAGAGUACACCGGUGAACACAUCGUUCACAACACCUACAGGUUAUGAACCUGCUAGCGUUCCACUGGACUGUCUAGAAAGAGUCCGUGGUCGUUAUCCAUACUCCGCUGAAUAACUAGAUCAACAACAACAACAACAUCGAGGCCUCUCAUCUGUUUAUUACACACCAACUAUCUACCCAUGUUCUACCCAACAUAUUAGUAGAUAAAAAUAUAUAUUUUCAUACAUAGUUUAAAACCUGUAUAUCAUUUUCAUUCAAUAUAUAUUCCACAUAACAGAUGAGGCAUACCACAUAACACGUAUUCCAUAGAAAACAAUUCAAAUCUAUGAGAUAGAAUAAAGUGAAUAUCCAUUCAUGCAUACAAUCACAAAAUAUACACAUAAGAAGUAUAUCGUAUAAAAUACCUCAUAGUUACUCGUUAGAAGAAAGCAACUACACCCUCACACAUAUAAACCACAAUUUACUUAAUACACUCAAACUGUACUUGUAUUAUUAUCGUGUUUAUGAAAGGUAGUAUACACUCACUUGAUCAGAAGAUGAUCAGACAGGACUACGACUUGCAGAAGUAGUAAUGCACAGGAGAUCUGGAACAUCUGCACAAAAAUCGAACUUCUCGCGGGCAGAGCUUCGACUCGGGAACCGCACUUCUCGGAAUCUUCGGGAUCUCGGGACUUUCCUCGGGGCUCGAGAAUAAUAUCAAGGCUUCGGGUAUUUUUGGCACGCAAAAUGAUGCAAAACGGGAGAGAGAAGAGAGGAAAUUAGCAAAAUAGCCGGCUGCCCUCGCAUCCUAUUUAUAGGAGGCUGGAGCCUCGGAGUACGCGGGGCGUACAGGCGUACGCGGGGCAUACUGGCCUCGGAAUUCGUCACUGCAUGCAUCAUCCGAAGUGUCGACACUCUUCGGAGUACGCGGGGCGUACUCGCAUAUGCGGGGUGUACGUCGGAUCGGACUGCUGACUCCCCCUUCGGAUAAUGCCGGAUUUUUCAAUUAAAAAUAAAUACAAAUUAUUUAUCAAACUUCGGAAAUUCAUAUCUUCUUCAUACGAACUCUGUUUUCGACGUUCUUUAUAUCCACGGAAAGGUGAGACUACACUCUACAAAUUUUGUUUAGACUCCGUCGGCAAAUUUGGACUUUAUUUUUAUUAUUUAUUUUUAAUAGGCCGCGACAGAAAAACUUCGUUAUAAAUUCAUAACUUCUUCGUUUGACGUCCGUUCUCGCCUAACUUUUUAUCGCUUCGAUACCAACAACGAGACCUUCGAUCCUCGUUUAGAUUGUUUCGGCUAAAAACCACGCUUUCUCAAAUCGAGUAUUUCAGGCUGCAUACCGCUAAGUCGAAACUUCGAUAAAUCAUAACUUCCUCAUACGAAGUCAGAUUUGGGCAUUCUAUAUAUAUUCGGAAACCUCGUUUCAACUACUACAACAUUAACCAAAGAUAUUAAGUUCAUUUUACACUUAAAUUUUGACGCUUAUUUUUAUUCUUAAUUAAUCAGACCACAUAAUUAAGCAAUUAAGCACAAAACACAUAAUACUCAAAUAAUACAUUCUUAUUAUUUCAAAACGGGUUACAAAGGUUAACCUAGACUAUUACAUUACUAAGAAUGGCAAGCCCGGAAACACAGGCGUUACAUUAUCGACUUCAGGUUCUGAGUUAGUCUCUUCAGGAAAUGGUUCGGCGAAGUCAUCUUCCAAAGGAAUCUCAUGGUUCUCUUCUGGCGCUAGCGCGAGCCAUCCAUCAUCUCCUUGGUUGGGAAAGAACGGGUCGCCAGGGAAUUGGAAUCCAGCCAUGCUAUCUAUGCGAGAUAAGGGUAAAGGGAUAGUUAUUAGGCAUCGAAUCUAAUAAUACUUUCAAUGUAUUACGGCUACAUGAUUGAUUCUUGAGGGAUGGAUUCUUGGGUAAGUUUCCGGUUCGGUUGCUAUAACAUCCUAAAAUAUUCCUAUAUUAUUUUAAUCGUUAUGUUCAGUUCUGGAACUCUUCUGGUAUCAAGCUAUGUUUUAGGCUUGCUGCAACACCACAGUCACUCCCAAGCACAUGUUGGUCAUGUCUCGAAUGAAUAUAGUGGAUUAGGCUUUAUUGACCCGAGACAUGAUAACAUAACUUCCCAGGUCUAACCGCGAUGUCCAACAUCCAGAUACUUUUGUUUUGUACUGCUUAUGACACUGGUUCGGGUACUUAGGUAUACUUUUAUAGUUUUUCUAAAAAUAGUUAUAUUUUUGAAAAUAUACUUUUAGUUUAGAGCACUUAGGCCCUUAAUGUUUAUAGUUGUAUACCAUGUAUGGUUCGGUAUACUUAGUUCACUAUAAACAAGAGCUCUAAUACCUAUCUGUC